UACGUAGGGGGCAAGCGUUGUCCGGAAUCAUUGGGCGUAAAGAGCGUGUAGGCGGCCUGAUAAGUCGGUUGUGAAAGUCAAGGGCUCAACCCUUGAAUGCCGGCCGAUACUGUCAGGCUAGAGUCCGGAAGAGGCGAGUGGAAUUCCUGGUGUAGCGGUGAAAUGCGUAGAGAUCUGGAAGAACACCAAAGGCGAAGGCAGCAUUCUGGGAAGUAACUGACGCUCAUGUGCGAAAGCUAGGGGAGCGAACGGG
RNAcentral lists this ribosomal RNA (253 nucleotides) under uncultured bacterium. RNAcentral describes it as "partial 16S ribosomal RNA". It matches the Rfam family "Bacterial small subunit ribosomal RNA", at positions 524 to 776 of the family's 1533-position model. The record is from RNAcentral.